GAAAGCUGAUAUAUCUGCAGUGAAAACUGUAAAGGUGUACAGAUGAAUGAGUAGUUCUUACAACCAGGAUAAUCUGAGUGUUUUGUUUUCUACUAUAUUAACCUAAAUUCUCACUAUCCCAGAAAAGCUACUGAAUAUACUUUAUCUACUCAAUAAUAUUUGGGAGAGAAACUUAACUAGCAUUAUUCUACCAGUAAAUCUAGCUAUUGUUUUAAACUCAAACCGAGGUAUAACUAUGCUAAACCCAGAAAUCAAGAGGCAUGUUUAAUACAUCAAUCACAUAGUACAUAUAAGAGGGUCUGUACAGAUGCUUCAUAAUGAAAUUCCAGGACUUUCAAGGACUUUUCAAGCACUGUUUUUUUGUUUGUUUUAUGUUUUCAAGUACUAUAGAAGAGAUGUCAUUCAAACAUAUCCUUCAUUUCCAAAAAAAAAAAUAUUCAUUUUUUUUUUUUUUUUUAAACAACCAUUUUAUAUAGCUCCUUUUCCCAGCCAUGAUGGACUAAAUUUGUAUUUCCCAGUCAUUGCUUCAUUUUCACCAUAAUUUCACCAUUGCAUCGUAUUUUCACUCUGCCUAGUGUCAGCCCUUUAUUACAUCCUACUCUGUGCUCACAUGCUGAAUUUUAAUACAGCCAAAUUCCCAAUAAAGCUGUUCUCAUUUACAUGUUUUUUCUGUUUCUGAAAGCAGGACCUCGCACUCGCCGGGCAGUACUGGCCAUUAUCUUCUACAGAAAGUAGCUAAGGCCUCCCUUGCGAGACGAGAAUCUUCACCAUCUGAAUCAUGAGUGCCGGUGCCCGUCGUCAGUCCCCUCUCUCUCCGUUACUGGACCUGGAUCUGGAUCUGGAUCUGGACACUCAUUACCAGCUUGUGCAUCUCACUGCUGAUAUCAUGAUGCUACUUAACUAUCUUCGCAGCACCCCCUCUAGGAAUGGAGAUCCGGGGUUCCCCCCUCUUCUUCGAUACAGAAUCUGCCUACAGCAUCUACAGCAAUCUACAGCAAAUAUGCUGUCCGAAAGAACACGUUAACAUCAAGGGCAACAAGUGCUGAGAUUGUGACGCUGAUGAAAAGGUGGCUGCAGCUGGCUUCAGACCGUGGAGGAGGAUGGAAGAGGUGCAACAAACAGUAGCUUGUCCUGACUAGGAACGCAUAAACCAUU
Ictalurus punctatus (channel catfish) is the source of this 1155-nucleotide long non-coding RNA. RefSeq lists it as uncharacterized. The transcript is spliced from 4 exons. The record is from RefSeq and is a predicted model, not a curated record. NCBI's taxonomy places the organism in Eukaryota, Metazoa, Chordata, Actinopteri, Siluriformes, Ictaluridae.